RNAcentral lists this RNase P RNA (384 nucleotides) under Cerasicoccus arenae. RNAcentral describes it as "Bacterial RNase P class A". It matches the Rfam family "Bacterial RNase P class A". Rfam says of the family: Ribonuclease P (RNase P) is a ubiquitous endoribonuclease, found in archaea, bacteria and eukarya as well as chloroplasts and mitochondria. Lineage: Bacteria; Pseudomonadati; Verrucomicrobiota; Opitutia; Puniceicoccales; Cerasicoccaceae. The record is from Rfam by way of RNAcentral.
UUUCGGGAGGCAGCUCUCGCAGCCGUUCUUUGAAACAGUUGAGGAAAGUCCGGACAUUACAGGGCAGGAUUCCUCGUGAAAGCGGGGGCAGGCGGCGUUUAAGCGCUGUUUGACGGAUAGCGCCACAGAGAAUAUACCGCCUCUUUCGGGAGGUAAGGGUGAAAAGGUGGGGUAAGAGCCCACCGCGUCGAGGGUAACCAAGACGGCACGGCAAGCCCAAUCCAAUGCAAGACUAUGUAGGGGACCGGGCGGCCCGUCCAUUAAAGUCCCGGGUAAGUCGCAUUUCGCUUCGGCGGGGCGAACUUCGGUUCGCAGAUGAAUGAGAGCACGUAGCUGGGUUUACCCGGCUGCGAACAGAAUCCGGCUUACGCUUUCCGAAAACCU